AUGGGGGGAGGGAGGAGUGUAGGGGGGAGAAGGAGAAUAAGCUAUCGACAGCCCUCCCUGCCCCCAUCCCGGGGGCAGCAGAGCUCCCACGGACCGACCCCCCCGAGCCUUCCUUCGCGCCGGAGCCAAUCCGCUCCCCGGCUCCUACCUGCUUUCGGGGUGCCCGAGCGGGCAGCAGGGGCAGGGGCCGCCGCCGAGCGCCGCCGCCGCGCCCCGGGAGCCAGGCACCCGGUGGGAAGAGGCAUCGCCCGCCGCCCACCUCAGGAGCCCGGCGGGGCGAGGCGGUGCCGCGCGGUGCUGUGCUGGCCUCGGCGGGGCGGGAAGUUUGGCCGAGCAGCGGGCGAGGAGCGGCGGAUACGCCGCUGCAGGAACGCAGGCGACUCUGCGCGGAGCGCGGCGCGGCGCGGAUCUUUUGCCGGCUGCCCCGCACGGACCGGCGCUGACGUCACGCCGGGGGCGGGGGGGACACGUUUCUCCCAGCCCCCCCCCUCUUCGCACACCCCCAGCCGCUCUCGCGGGCGGCUCCGCUUCCGGCUCGACAGCUCGCCGCGGGAGCCCUCCGGCAGUCCGAAUAGCGGGGAGCACGGCAGCGAGCGGAGGGGGCCACUCACAGACUUCUCCGGUGCAGGUGCAAAAUGAAAUACUUGAUACCAGCCUGAACCAGCUUCAGAUGGGCCGUGUUAGUCUUGUGCUUUUAUAUAUACCAGCGCAACUUUUGAUUCCUGCAUGGUGCUAGAGCCACCACUUCAUCUAUCUGCUGGCAAGAAAAAGAAUGCCAGACCAUGGCAUGGAAGCAUAAGCAGGUAAAAUUUGGCACAGAUCAUUACUCUUACUGCCUAGCAAGCAUCAUGCUGUUGUCCUUCUGUGAGAGUAAAUAUCAAGGAGCAGAGUAAGCCUGGAAAUGUGACACUCUUUUCCUUUCUCCACGUUUUAUCUGCAGAUGGAUGUUAAACGCUUCUCACAUAUCUCUGUCAGUUUAUCAGUCUCUCUUCUUGUAAAUGAAGAAAGCAAAAUCAUAUGCAUCCACCAAAAGUCUUAUGGAAUAAAGAAAAGAACAGAGCAACUGGCUAAGCA
RNAcentral lists this long non-coding RNA (1074 nucleotides) under Numida meleagris (helmeted guineafowl). Its description in RNAcentral is "lncRNA (ENSNMEG00000008027.1)". Lineage: Eukaryota; Metazoa; Chordata; Aves; Galliformes; Numididae. The record is from RNAcentral.